UGGGGAAUAUUGGACAAUGGUCGAAAGCCUGAUCCAGCCAUGCCGCGUGUGUGAAGAAGGUCUUCGGAUUGUAAAGCACUUUAAGUUGGGAGGAAGGGCAGUAAGCGAAUACCUUGCUGUUUUGACGUUACCGACAGAAUAAGCACCGGCUAACUCUGUGCCAGCAGCCGCGGUAAUACAGAGGGUGCAAGCGUUAAUCGGAAUUACUGGGCGUAAAGCGCGCGUAGGUGGUUCGUUAAGUUGAAUGUGAAAGCCCCGGGCUCAACCUGGGAACUGCAUCCAAAACUGGCGAGCUAGAGUAGGGCAGAGGGUGGUGGAAUUUCCUGUGUAGCGGUGAAAUGCGUAGAUAUAGGAAGGAACACCAGUGGCGAAGGCGACCACCUGGGCUCAUACUGACACUGAGGUGCGAAAGCGUGGGGAGCAAACAGG
RNAcentral lists this ribosomal RNA (429 nucleotides) under Pseudomonadota bacterium. RNAcentral's name for it is "Proteobacteria bacterium partial 16S ribosomal RNA". It matches the Rfam family "Bacterial small subunit ribosomal RNA", at positions 355 to 776 of the family's 1533-position model. The record is from RNAcentral. Lineage: Bacteria; Pseudomonadati; Pseudomonadota.